UACCCCGUCUUGAAACACGGACCAAGGAGUCUAGCAUGUGCGCGAGUCAUUGGAAACUAAUAAAUCCAGAGGCGCAAUGAAAGUGAACAGCGUCGUUCCCCUCGGGGUUCGGCCGCAGGGAAGAUGACGCGCGGUACGCCCGCGCGUUCGCAUUCCCGAGGCGUUUCGAGAAAUGCCUCAGUUGCGAUUAUCGAGACGCACUGAGAGCGCACACGCUGGGACCCGAAAGAUGGUGAACUAUGCCUGGUCAGGUCGAAGUCAGGGGAAACCCUGAUGGAGGACCGAAGCGAUUCUGACGUGCAAAUCGAUCGUCCGAACUGGGUAUAGGGGCGAAAGACUAAUCGAACUAUC
This 351-nucleotide ribosomal RNA is filed under the name Homoplectra doringa. RNAcentral describes it as "eukaryotic LSU rRNA". It matches the Rfam family "Eukaryotic large subunit ribosomal RNA", at positions 645 to 944 of the family's 3401-position model. Lineage: Eukaryota; Metazoa; Arthropoda; Insecta; Trichoptera; Hydropsychidae. The record is from RNAcentral.